CCGGCCAACUACGUGCCAGCAGCCGCGGUAAUACGUAGGGUCCGAGCGUUGUCCGGAAUUACUGGGCGUAAAGAGCUUGUAGGCGGUUCGUCGCGUCGUUUGUGAAAACUUGGGGCUCAACCUUAAGCUUGCAGGCGAUACGGGCGGACUAGAGUACUUCAGGGGAGACUGGAAUUCCUGGUGUAGCGGUGAAAUGCGCAGAUAUCAGGAGGAACACCGGUGGCGAAGGCGGGUCUCUGGGAAGUAACUGACGCUGAGAAGCGAAAGCAUGGGUAGCAAACAGGAUUAGAUACCCUGGUAGUCCAUGCCGUAAACGGUGGGUACUAGGUGUGGGGCUCCUUCCACGGACUCCGUGCCGUAGCUAACGCAUUAAGUACCCCGCCUGGGGAGUACGGCCGCAAGGCUAAAACUCAAAGAAAUUGACGGGGGCCCGCACAAGCGGCGGAGCAUGUGGAUUAAUUCGAUGCAACGCGAAGAACCUUACCUGGGUUUGACAUACACCGGAAACCUGCAGAGAUGUAGGCCCCCUUGUGGUCGGUGUACAGGUGGUGCAUGGCUGUCGUCAGCUCGUGUCGUGAGAUGUUGGGUUAAGUCCCGCAACGAGCGCAACCCUUAUCUUAUGUUGCCAGCGCGUAAUGGCGGGGACUCGUGAGAGACUGCCGGGGUCAACUCGGAGGAAGGUGGGGACGACGUCAAGUCAUCAUGCCCCUUAUGUCCAGGGCUUCACACAUGCUACAAUGGCCGGUACAGAGGGCUGCGAUACCGCGAGGUGGAGCGAAUCCCUUAAAGCCGGUCUCAGUUCGGAUCGGGGUCUGCAACUCGACCCCGUGAAGUUGGAGUCGCUAGUAAUCGCAGAUCAGCAACGCUGCGGUGAAUACGUUCCCGGGCCUUGUACACACCGCCCGUCACGUCAUGAAAGUCGGUAACACCCGAAGCCGGUGGCCUAACCCCUUGUGGGAGGGAGCCGUCGAAGGUGAUUCGCGGGA
Molecule: ribosomal RNA, 986 nt
Filed under: bacterium KB42
Lineage: Bacteria
Description: bacterial SSU rRNA
Rfam family: Bacterial small subunit ribosomal RNA
Source: RNAcentral